Long non-coding RNA from Arachis stenosperma, 275 nucleotides. RefSeq lists it as uncharacterized. The record is from RefSeq and is a predicted model, not a curated record. Lineage: Eukaryota; Viridiplantae; Streptophyta; Magnoliopsida; Fabales; Fabaceae. The transcript has 3 exons.
UACAGCAAGGGAGGGAGAGGAGAUUCACAAACCCUCACCAUUCCUUCCAACUACCAUAACUUUCUCAUCCGGGCUCCGAUCGCCGCACCGUUCGCGGCCACGCGUCGGGCUCGUCGAGCUCUUCAAUUUUAUCUAAACAAAACAGGGUUCACUAGACUUGAUUUCUUGUGGGUAUUGCUCAAGGAUCAGUGGGUAAAGGUAGUGUGUAUGUGAAUGUUGAUGCUUGUUGGAGGCUUGUUGGUGAUCAAGCUUGGUUUGGGCUGUUUGAUUGAGUU